UAUUUUGACUAUACGAAGGUAUUGAAAUAAGAUUUUAAAUGAGUGCUAAGAGAAUGAUUUAACAAUUAAAGGCUUUCUUUAAUUUAAUAAUUGAAUUUAAUUUUUUAGUGCAAAAGCAAAAAUUAUAAUUAGGGACAAGAAGACCCUAUGAAUUUUUAUUUUUUAAUAAUAAGAUUAUUAUUAAAAAAUUUAAUUGGGGUGAUGGAAAAAGAAUAAAUAUCUUUUUGGUAUAUAAAAAUUAGUUCCGUUUUUAACGAUUUUAUGAAAAAAAUACUCUAGGGAUAACAGCGUAAUAAUUUUGGAUAGUUCAUAUAGAUAAAAUAGUUUGCGACCUCGAUGUUGGAUUAGGAUUCUUUUUCGGUGAAGAAGUUGAGAAGAAGAAGUUUGUUCAACUUUUAAUUU
RNAcentral lists this ribosomal RNA (402 nucleotides) under Ixodes affinis. RNAcentral describes it as "partial large subunit ribosomal RNA". The stretch from base 281 to 402 matches the Rfam family "Bacterial large subunit ribosomal RNA", at positions 2473 to 2594 of the family's 2925-position model. The record is from RNAcentral. Lineage: Eukaryota; Metazoa; Arthropoda; Arachnida; Ixodida; Ixodidae.